UACCCGCAGCCCAAGUGGUGGUCACGAUUAUUGGGCCUAAAGCGCUCGUAGCCGGGUCAACAAGUCCCUUGUGAAAUCGGACGGCCUAACCGUUCGGCUUGCAAGGGAUACUGUUGGUCUCGAGGCCGGGAGACGUCUGAGGUACUCCGGGGGUAGCGGUGAAAUGCUGUAAUCCUCGGGGGACCACCAGUGGCGAAGGCGUCAGACGAGAACGGACCUGACGGUGAGGGGCGAAGGCUAGGGGAGCGAACGGG
RNAcentral lists this ribosomal RNA (254 nucleotides) under uncultured Methanobacteriales archaeon. RNAcentral's name for it is "partial 16S ribosomal RNA". It matches the Rfam family "Archaeal small subunit ribosomal RNA", at positions 474 to 727 of the family's 1478-position model. Lineage: Archaea; Methanobacteriati; Methanobacteriota; Methanobacteria; Methanobacteriales. The record is from RNAcentral.